Long non-coding RNA from Mesocricetus auratus (golden hamster), 1777 nucleotides. RefSeq lists it as uncharacterized. Lineage: Eukaryota; Metazoa; Chordata; Mammalia; Rodentia; Cricetidae. The record is from RefSeq and is a predicted model, not a curated record. The transcript is spliced from 3 exons.
GCCUGAAGUGCUGAUGCCAGCUACAGGAGGAACAUGUCUCCAGAGAGAUUUCACACAAUUCUGACAGCUAGUCAGACUUGCAGGAGAGACAAGUCCAGACAUGGUGGGCAGGGCCAGUUAUGAAGACUCUCGCCUUCUGUUUAAGCCUCUGGUUGAGGAGCUGACCCGAGUUUGGAUCCCCAGCACCCACGGACAACACUGGACCAGGUGGUAACUGCCCAUAAUCCUGGUGCCGGGGAGGUAGAGACUGGGGGUCCCUGGGGCUUGCUGGCCAACUAGUCUGCCUCAGUCAGUUCCAGGUUCAGUGAGAGAACCAGAAAACGAGACGGAGAGCAAUGCUGACAACCGACACCCACCUCUAGCUUCCGCAUGCGCACACGCGUGCGCGCACAGACACACAGUCUAAGCCUCACGUAGAUGCCCUGGACACAGACCCAGGGCCACUGCGCCUCAAUGUUUGUUCCUCUUCCCAGUGCGGCCACUGAGCACAUCUCCCUUCCUCGCUUUCCCCUGUUACUUGACUCCCCGGGUGCCGUAUUGGGGAUGGGUGGCGGAACCUAGCUUAUUGGGACUUCCGGAGUCCAGGUAGACUUUGAUCCCAAAACUCUGAUGACAUUUGGAUAAUUCGCAGGGCUCUAGAGCAGUUUUGAGGACACAAAAAUGACAAAAUACAAACAUCGCAAACCGAGAGAGUGAGACAAGCCUGGACGCACAUCAGAGACCACUGGAGCCUGGAGUAGCCGCUGCCUGGAGAGAGAGGCCGUGUGCUGUGAGGCACCUGGGACGCACCAGGACAAGAAGCUGACCUGGUUUUUGCACGUGGACACUUUGAGCUGCUUUGUUCAUACCCAAAACCUGGAAGCAAAUGUCCUCCACCUGCAAGUGUACAGACAAGUCUGGGUACGAAGUAAUUUGGUAGACUCAUUGAGAAACUGUUGGUGUCGUUCUCAAAGCGAGACUCAUGCAUAGCAGUUGCAUCCCCAGGGACACACCCAACACUUCAGGCUUGUGUAAGGACAUUACAGGGCCUAUGCCAAGCACUCAGUUUUCCUGUGGACUUUCUCUUCUCAUGAAGUGAAGCCUGAGUGACAGAUCGUCUCAAGCCUUCCUUGGGAGUGUGCACCGGGCACCUCUUAGGUGGUCUAGGUCACCACGACAGUCUGAAGUCAGACUUCUGACCCUACUAACCCUGUGCUCAGCCAUACCAAGGAGGCCAGACGAUGUUCCUGGAGGGGAGGGCAGGGAGAGUCUAGGAAGGGGUGUCCUACCCAGCAGAGGGCUUUACUGCCUCCAGGCCCUCACUCUCACAGGCAGCCCAGCGUGUGUUUGGAAAUCUUCACUCAGGCACUAGGUGGGAGUACAGAGCCCUUGGAGGAGGGGACCGAAGCCCAGAUCGCAUAGAGCUAAGGCUAGAACCUGGGUCUUGAGACUCCGAAACCCAGUUCUAGACCAGUGUUUCCCACAGAGUCAUGCCUGGCUCCUUUGGAAAGUUGGUGAAGUUUACAAGGCUGUCUGUCCCACAGUGGGGUUUUAAAACAACAUGGAAUGGAAUACAUGAUUACCAGGUCUGUUAAAAUAGCCAUAUUGAAAUACAUUUGUCAGUAUUUGGUUUUUGAGGCAGAUUCUCUGUGUAGCCCGCGUUGGCCUUGAACUCUCAACUCCCCUGCCUUAGCGGGAGUGCUGAUAUUAUAGGUGCCCGGCUCAAUUGCCAUGACUUAAAAAAAAGAUUGCAGUACACUGUAUGUUACAUCUAUGUGACUUGUGUGGGGGUGUAUCU